GCACCUCCCUCAACCAAUGCUGUUUGAAUGUUUGUCACCGAUGGAAUUAAUAUAUCUGUGGUUAGUGCUUUUGUUUUAAUAUGAUGUAUAACAAUUUUUUUAUGCUCCAUUAAUGGGCAUUAUGUUUUCUGGUCUGUGCGUCCGUCCGUUCUUUCGGUCGUCAUUCCGUCCGUCCGUUCGUCCCGCUUCAGGUUAAGUUUUCGGUUGAGGUUGUUUUU
This 218-nucleotide long non-coding RNA is filed under the name Mytilus galloprovincialis (Mediterranean mussel). The record is from RNAcentral. Lineage: Eukaryota; Metazoa; Mollusca; Bivalvia; Mytilida; Mytilidae.